CCUAGAGUUGUAGGCUUUGCCUGCUAUCUCUUACUUAUGUCUUUUAAGUACCUUCGUUUCCUCAGCAGGUCUGCCUGCCGAUUGGACAAUUUAAACUAUUUGCAGUUGCAAUCAGUGUCUGAAAAAACUUAAUAGUUA
This 138-nucleotide unclassified non-coding RNA is filed under the name uncultured Ascomycota. Its description in RNAcentral is "sequence contains ITS1". The record is from RNAcentral. Lineage: Eukaryota; Fungi; Ascomycota.